Molecule: ribosomal RNA, 570 nt
Filed under: uncultured Glomeromycotina
Lineage: Eukaryota; Fungi; Glomeromycota
Description: SSU rRNA
Rfam family: Eukaryotic small subunit ribosomal RNA
Source: RNAcentral
UUGGAGGGCAAGUCUGGUGCCAGCAGCCGCGGUAAUUCCAGCUCCAAUAGCGUAUAUUAAAGUUGUUGCAGUUAAAAAGCUCGUAGUUGAGUUUCGGGAUUGGCACAUCGGUCGUGCCUUAAGGGGCAUGAACUGGUGUGGCCAAUUUCUCACCUUCUGGAGAACCGCGAUGUCCUUAAUUGGGUGCCGCGAGGAACCAGGACCUUUACUUUGAAAAAAUUAGAGUGUUUAAAGCAGGCAUUUUGCUUGAAUACAUUAGCAUGGAAUAAUAAAAUAGGACGGAUGAUUCUAUUUUGUUGGUUUCUAGGACCACCGUAAUGAUUAAUAGGGAUAGUUGGGGGCAUUAGUAUUCAAUUGUCAGAGGUGAAAUUCUUGGAUUUAUUGAAGACUAACUACUGUGAAAGCAUUUGCCAAGGAUGUUUUCAUUAAUCAAGAACGAAAGUUAGGGGAUCGAAGACGAUCAGAUACCGUCGUAGUCUUAACCAUAAACUAUGCCGACUAGGAAUCAGACGAUGUUAAUUUUUUAAUGACUCGUUUGGCACCUUACGGGAAACCAAAGUGUUUGGGUUC